Molecule: long non-coding RNA, 785 nt
Organism: Dreissena polymorpha
Lineage: Eukaryota; Metazoa; Mollusca; Bivalvia; Myida; Dreissenidae
Exons: 2
Source: RefSeq, a predicted model, not a curated record
UUUAGUAUGUCAUUGUGAUUGCUUUUAAGAUAGGCAAUAAACUCAUAACCUUUAGAAAAAGGAGCAUCUGUAAAUUCAGAUUUCACUAUUUCAGAGUCAGCCAGACCAUGAUUGAGCUUAAGGAUUGUGCUGCGGAUGCGGCCUGUGCAGUUCCGGGAGAAAGUCACUGUCUUGGGCAUUGCGGUCUGGUAUCAGGUCUGGAUGAUCCUUGCCUGACUCCGGGUUUGUGUACACCUCAAUCCGACUCCCUGUCCGGUACCAUGGCCGCAGUGGUGCAGCCCUUGUGGACGAUCCAUCGACAUCCUGAAAGGUCAACACUUCACCAAGCUGGGAAAAUUGAUCCUGAUAGUCAUCCCCAGGUAGUGAAAUGAAUGUACACUGAACUACAGAGGAAUCACACCAAAAUGACUUUUCUGACAUUAGUGUGGCCCCUCGGGCAGGAAUUCCUUAGCAAACAUGCUUUUUUGCAUGGGGACUGUGGCAUUUUUGCAAAACUUAAGCUUUCAACGCUGGAUUUUAAAGAGAACACUUAAUAAAAUGAAGCCAACAGGACUUAUUUUAAUGAGAGAGACUAUCUGGAUGAGCAACAAAUGUCACAUUGUGUCGUAAGCUGUUGAAGGAGCGAUUUGCGCCAUUUCAAGUGUUAAUUUUGGGUAGCAGGCUUGUAUCGGCUUGAAAGCUGCAAAUUAUUCCUCUCAUCAUGAUAGCAUUAAUUAUUUUAAUUGCAAUGUGUAUGUUUAGAUUGUAAGUGAAGCUUUUAAUAAUAAUUUUCUUGAAAAACAUGA